GUGCUUGCUUCGACAGCACAUAUAGUAAAAUGGGAAUGAUACCGAGAAAAUUAGCAGGGCCUCUUGUAAGGAAGACAGAAUUAUGUAGUAUGGCAUCAUUUU
Hyaena hyaena (striped hyena) is the source of this 102-nucleotide small nuclear RNA. NCBI's taxonomy places the organism in Eukaryota, Metazoa, Chordata, Mammalia, Carnivora, Hyaenidae. The record is from RefSeq and is a predicted model, not a curated record.